CUUGCCCCGAUCCCUCCACCCGCCCGCCUUCUUCCCGGCAACCCAGCCCCACCCUAGGCGCGGCGAUGGGUGCUAGGGCGUGGGAAAAGGCGGCGGCGCUCGCGAGGGCGGAUGCCGGCGGUGACAUCGUCCACCAGGACGUCGACGCGCACAAAUCCUCAGCUACUCGAACGACUUCAUGCUCGUAUUCUCCGUCUCUCCAGCCGCUAGACACACGAAGAAGUCCGCGACUCUGGCGGCGGUUGCCCACGGCCAAUGAGAAGGAAGCUGCGGCAGUUCUAGGGACAAGAAGAUGACAACAGCCCCCCGACGGCCUCCUGCAAGCACAUCGAGGAAGAGGUUGUCAAGAAGACAAAAUCAGUUGUGAAGCUCAAACAAGAAGCUGAGAAUUGCCUAUAAUAGAGUGAAAGAUUUAACAACGAGAAGGCUGAGUUUGAGCAAGCUUCCUUCACAAAAGGUACAGUUCCUUGUCUCGACCUCUUUCUUCUGUGCCUGUCGCUAGCUAGCGAUGUUUUGGUUAUGCAGUUUUUGUGUGAAGUUCACCCUCGGCAUGGACAACAUGGCAUGGACCCUCUGUUCUUGGCCUCCACUCCGUCAAGGCACAUAUGAGGGUUACCAUGAUUCUGGUAGUGCUUGUUCUACCAUCAGGUGGAGGGCUAUGAGGAUGUUGUGGCAAUAAGACUAUGACGUCAUAUAGGUUCAAUCAGUACAUGAAGCAGAUGCCGCGUACUAUAUUGCUUACCUGUGUAGGGCUAAGAGGAAGUUGAUGCAUGGCAGGGGACGGAGGUGCAGCGAGAUCCUGGAGAGGCCGCGCCGAUGCAUCUUCUAAAGGGUGACUUGAAACCAGCAGAGGGACAGGGAUCAUGCGAAAACGCUGAUUCAGUGAAAAUCUGGAAACUCUACUCGUGGGCCAUCGAAUCAAUAAGGAGCGCACAGAUGAGAGGGUGGGCUUGCUAAUCACCUGUUGUACUUCUACACGGGGCUGACUGUAUUCAUGGAAAAUUUGUUGGCAACAAGUAUGGUGAUUCAUGGAAAGUAAAAUGGUUAUUUUCUCUAAUCUAAACAUGUGAUA
Long non-coding RNA from Triticum dicoccoides, 1072 nucleotides. RefSeq lists it as uncharacterized. The transcript is spliced from 3 exons. Lineage: Eukaryota; Viridiplantae; Streptophyta; Magnoliopsida; Poales; Poaceae. The record is from RefSeq and is a predicted model, not a curated record.